This 493-nucleotide ribosomal RNA is filed under the name uncultured bacterium. RNAcentral describes it as "partial 16S ribosomal RNA". It matches the Rfam family "Bacterial small subunit ribosomal RNA", at positions 29 to 508 of the family's 1533-position model. The record is from RNAcentral.
AGUGAACGCUGGCGGUAGGCCUAACACAUGCAAGUCGAACGGCAGCACAGUAAGAGCUUGCUCUUACGGGUGGCGAGUGGCGGACGGGUGAGGAAUACAUCGGAAUCUACUUUUUCGUGGGGGAUAACGUAGGGAAACUUACGCUAAUACCGCAUACGACCUACGGGUGAAAGCAGGGGAUCUUCGGACCUUGCGCGAUUGAAUGAGCCGAUGUCGGAUUAGCUAGUUGGCGGGGUAAAGGCCCACCAAGGCGACGAUCCGUAGCUGGUCUGAGAGGAUGAUCAGCCACACUGGAACUGAGACACGGUCCAGACUCCUACGGGAGGCAGCAGUGGGGAAUAUUGGACAAUGGGCGCAAGCCUGAUCCAGCCAUACCGCGGGGGUGAAGAAGGCCGUCGGGUUGUAAAGCCCUUUUGUUGGGAAAGAAAAGCAGCAGGUUAAUACCCCGCUGUUCUGACGGUACCCAAAGAAUAAGCACCGGCUAACUUCGUGC